GUGUUGGCUCUGGUCAGGUAAGCUUCAUACGUGGUUCUAGUGAAUUUGGGUUUAAAAUACUUUAUUUCCCUUCCCCCACAAUCAAAUAAUUGGGGUACAAGACUAAGUAUUAAUCUCAGUCUAAAUUACUCAUAUAAGCUAGUUUGUUCUAUUUAGCAGCAUUUGCUUCUCCGCAUUCCGAACUUCAAUUUUGUUCAGUUUGAUAGAUCAUGACAAUUUCAGCCAACCAUUUCAAUAGGAU
This 241-nucleotide unclassified non-coding RNA is filed under the name Hevea brasiliensis (rubber tree). Lineage: Eukaryota; Viridiplantae; Streptophyta; Magnoliopsida; Malpighiales; Euphorbiaceae. The record is from RNAcentral.